RNAcentral lists this ribosomal RNA (425 nucleotides) under uncultured prokaryote. Its description in RNAcentral is "bacterial SSU rRNA". It matches the Rfam family "Bacterial small subunit ribosomal RNA", at positions 355 to 796 of the family's 1533-position model. The record is from RNAcentral.
UGGGGAAUUUUCCGCAAUGGGCGAAAGCCUGACGGAGCAAUACCGCGUGAGGGAGGAAGGCUCUUGGGUUGUAAACCUCUUUUCUCAGGGAAGAAUCCUGACGGUACCUGAGGAAUCAGCAUCGGCUAACUCCGUGCCAGCAGCCGCGGUAAUACGGAGGAUGCGAGCGUUGUCCGGAAUUAUUGGGCGUAAAGAGCGUGUAGGCGGCUUGGUAAGUCUGUCGUGAAAUGCUGGGGCUCAACCCUGGUCGUGCGAUGGAUACUGCUAGGCUAGAGGAUGGUAGAGGCGAGUGGAAUUCCCGGUGUAGCGGGGAAAUGCGCAGAUAUCGGGAGGAACACCAGUAGCGAAGGCGGCUCGCUGGGCCAUUCCUGACGCUGAGACGCGAAAGCGUGGGGAGCAAACAGGAUUAGAUACCCCCGUAGUCC